RNAcentral lists this ribosomal RNA (468 nucleotides) under uncultured bacterium. RNAcentral's name for it is "partial 16S ribosomal RNA". It matches the Rfam family "Bacterial small subunit ribosomal RNA", at positions 28 to 507 of the family's 1533-position model. The record is from RNAcentral.
GACGAACGCUGGCGGCGCGCCUAACACAUGCAAGUCGAACGGAGUCAAGAGGAGCUUGCUUUUCUUGACUUAGUGGCGAACGGGUGAGUAACGCGUGAGUAACCUGCCCUGGAGUGGGGGACAACAGUUGGAAACGACUGCUAAUACCGCAUAAGCCCACGGAUCCGCAUGGAUCUGCGGGAAAAGGAUUUAUUCGCUUCAGGAUGGACUCGCGUCCAAUUAGCUAGUUGGUGAGGUAACGGCCCACCAAGGCGACGAUUGGUAGCCGGACUGAGAGGUUGGCCGGCCACUGGGGGAGAGAGCCCCGCCCCCGACCCCUCGGGGAGGAGGGGGGGGGGGAUAUGGCAGAGGGGGGAAAACCCUGACACCCCGGCGCCGGGGGGAGAAAAGAGUUUUUCGGAUUAUAAACCCCUCUGUUAAGGAAGUAAAAUCACGGUCCCUAAAAAAAAAACCCCGACAAACUCCGUC